RNAcentral lists this unclassified non-coding RNA (253 nucleotides) under uncultured Caryophanales bacterium. Its description in RNAcentral is "uncultured Bacillales bacterium contains 16S-23S intergenic spacer region". It matches the Rfam family "Bacterial small subunit ribosomal RNA", at positions 524 to 776 of the family's 1533-position model. Lineage: Bacteria; Bacillati; Bacillota; Bacilli; Caryophanales. The record is from RNAcentral.
UACGGAGGGUGCAAGCGUUAAUCGGAAUUACUGGGCGUAAAGCGCGCGCAGGUGGUUUCUUAAGUCUGAUGUGAAAGCCCACGGCUCAACCGUGGAGGGUCAUUGGAAACUGGGAGACUUGAGUGCAGAAGAGGUAAGCGGAAUGUGGCAUGUAGCGGUGAAAUGCGUAGAGAUGUGGAGGAACACCAGUGGCGAAGGCGACUUUCUGGUCUGUAACUGACGCUGAGGCGCGAAAGCGUGGGGAGCAAACAGG